CGAGGAGGAGGCGUGGCUUUGUCUGGUUCUGAGAGUCGGCGGAAAACCGAGCCAUUCAUUUCCGUGCCAGGGAGUAAGCUUACAGGCGGCACCGACUGAAAAUCUACCCUCCUGAACAACCAAACAACAGAAAUUUGCCAUGGGAGACACAGAAGUUCUGGCCGAUGUGACCAACACUGAUGUAGCCAUGAACGGAGACAAUGAGGUGUUUGAGGACAGU
Long non-coding RNA from Branchiostoma belcheri (Belcher's lancelet), 220 nucleotides. RefSeq lists it as uncharacterized. The record is from RefSeq and is a predicted model, not a curated record. NCBI's taxonomy places the organism in Eukaryota, Metazoa, Chordata, Leptocardii, Amphioxiformes, Branchiostomatidae. The transcript is spliced from 3 exons.